AUCAUCACCUGCAUCAUGGCGGGCCUUAUCCGGCGCAUCAAAACCCACUUUAAGGUCUCGAGCAAAAAGCCUUUGGUUUUGUUCCUUCUCCGGGAACAAAUUGGCCUCCGGGCCUCCCUUCAUUUCAUCUACUGAAGGGAGGCGUGGGUCUCUUUAGGGCUUCAGAUGGAUGUGCUUUCUCCGCCAGUACGACACCCAACGGGCCUCCCUCCCUCCCUCACGUGAUAGAGCACACUAAAAGCUGAUGUGGGAGAGCAACACCGCGCCCUACGACGGCUCUAUGUUGGGGUGAAUUGAAGAUAUGGAUCGCCGGAUGUGGCUGCACAAUCCCUACACAAAAGUGCGUGUGUGUGUGUGUUCCAUCCGGGAGUGAUAAAAGGGCGGGACGACACAUUGAAGAGUGUGUGGCGCACGUAAUUCACCUGAUAAACGACACCGGUAUCUGUGAAGUGGACAUAACAGCAGAAUACAGAGCCCAAUUUAAAAGAUACACGAGAGGCGCUCGCUUUAUCGUCUUCUCGAGCCCGUUGCGUCCAAGUAGCCGCAGGGAGGAUUUGAAUGAUAUAAAUCCCCGUUGCCAGAAAAAGGAUUGGAGCUUUUCGGCUGACUUAAAGGUGUCGAACAGUCCGCCACGGCAGUAAUCCUGUAAUCUGGGCAGUCAGCAGCCCUGCAAAAGGUCCUUACUACGGUACGUAGGACUCACACACACACACACAGAGACUUCUUCAGAAACACUAACGUUAAGACUACAGCUGCCACCAGCAACACCAAACACCCACACCUCGUCUGUCGUCACAUCCCACCUCGCAUUGCUCCGCUUUCAGUCUUUUGUCCUCGGCUGAAAAAUUCCGCCGGGGACCGCUGCGAGAGCUCGGCAUCGAAAUCUGUUUGUUGGUGUUUUCUGCUGGACGCCGUUUCCUUUUUACAUUCUUUCACGUCGGGCUGCGCGCACCGAGUACGCAGUGUUUACACAGGUGGCGGACCAUCAUUAUGCGGGAUAAUGACGCGAUUAUCGCGAUGAUAAAACAUGUAAUCACGAACGAUAAGGCUGGAUUACAUACGUGCUUUUGUUUCCUUUAAAUCUCUCUCAUGUGUGGAGGAGUGCAAUGUGAAUCCAGCACGGGUGCCA
Molecule: long non-coding RNA, 1129 nt
Filed under: Sparus aurata (gilthead seabream)
Lineage: Eukaryota; Metazoa; Chordata; Actinopteri; Spariformes; Sparidae
Description: lncRNA (ENSSAUG00010017480.1)
Source: RNAcentral